AAGAUUGUUCACCAUUGGUUGAUGAACCAUUUGACUUUUUAUCUCCUUCUUCUUCUCAACAAAAUUCUUUAUUUCUUCCCUCACAUCCGGUGGACAUUUAGGACAACUUGUCACGUUUCUAUCGCCACCAAUUAGAUGGUAUUUAAAGCGAUAAAUUUCACCCGUUGUAACCUUGUUGCAAAAGAUGCAUACAACAUUUGUAUUCUUCCCAUCAACUCUUUGGCCAUAUCGCCAAGCCGGGUCUUUCUCUUCCGAACUUUGAGACAUUUAAUUAUCCCUAUUAAGAUAUAAGCGAAAAAAUAAUUAAUAAACUGAAAAUAAACUGAAAUACACUGAAAAUACACUGAAAAUACACUAAAAUUAAACUGAAAAUACACUGAAAUUAAACUGAAAUUAAAAAUAAUAAUACAAUAAUUAUAUAUAUAUAUAUAUAUGCUACUGCUACAGUACCAUUUAAAAAAAAUGAAAAGAACUGGACAAAAAACUAAUGAAAAAGAAUAAAGUGAAACUGUGAAACAGAGAGCUCGUCGUCGACGUCGGUCGACGCUGAUCGAACAUGAAAAAAAAAUGAAAAAACGAUGGAAAAGCUCGUCGUCGACGUCGACAGAGAGAAAGAAGAAGAAGAUGGAAGAAGAAGAUGAAGAAGAAAGAAAAAACAAGAAGAAAGGAGAAGAAAAAAUACCUGGGUAUCUCGUCGGUCGUCGGUGAAGAUGGAAACCCUAAUUUCCGUCGUUGGUCGAGCUCUGUUUUUGGGUAUCUCGUCGGUCGUCGGUCGUUGGUCGUCGAUCGUUGGUGAAGAUGGAAACCCUAAUUUCCGUCACUGGAGAAGAAGAGGGGACGUUGGUCGAGCUCUUUUUUCAAUUUCAGUCAAUGGAAAGUGGAAACCCUAAUUUCCAGAACUGGGUCGAUCUCUGUUUUUAACUAAACGAUCGAUUUUUUCAGGUAAUCGAUUGCUUCUCUCGCUUCGGUCGCGUCGCCUCGCCUCGCUUUUCACUGUUAAGCGAGCGCUUCAUGGGUCGAUCUCUGUUUUUAACUUAACGAUCGAUUUUUUCAGGUAAUCGAUCGCUUCUCUCGCUUCGGUCGCGUCGCCUCGCCUCGCCUCGCUUUUCACUGUUAAGCGAGCACUUCUGGUGGUCGCAUCGCUUUAGGCAGUAAAAAUCGGCAACUGGUCGCCUCGAGUCGCUUUGCGCUUUAAGCGACGAAGCGCUCGCUUUUCACAACACCGUCAUGAAGAUGAUACAACUUGUCUUUGUAGUAUUCUUGUUCACAUGGUUUGUCAACCCAUACCNN
Molecule: long non-coding RNA, 1290 nt
Filed under: Nicotiana benthamiana
Lineage: Eukaryota; Viridiplantae; Streptophyta; Magnoliopsida; Solanales; Solanaceae
Description: long non-coding RNA (NBEN_LNC013511)
Source: RNAcentral